GUUAAUCCAAACAAUUGAAAUUGGUGGGAGAGGAUGGUGUGAAAAGGGACUCCAGGUUUAGCAGGAUCAUCCCAUGGAAGUGACGAGGUUUAGGAAGAUUGUUCUGAGACUACUGACUUACUCAGCUAAAAUGUGAAGCAUGAAACAUUAAAGACAACAGCACUUUCUGAAAAAAGGAGAUUGUGGAAGGGUGGCAAGUUUUUCUAGGAAGACAUUGCCUACCAGCUUGAAACAUGUAAAUUGCUGGAAUUUGCAUCAAAAUAUGACAGCUCUUCUCUGAUGAAGGACUUGGACAGGAACAAAGCAGUGGAUGGAGCAUCCUCCAUAAGGUCAUUUUGGUGCUGUU
Molecule: long non-coding RNA, 346 nt
Filed under: Parus major (Great Tit)
Lineage: Eukaryota; Metazoa; Chordata; Aves; Passeriformes; Paridae
Description: lncRNA (ENSPMJG00000012564.1)
Source: RNAcentral